This 253-nucleotide ribosomal RNA is filed under the name uncultured bacterium. Its description in RNAcentral is "partial 16S ribosomal RNA". It matches the Rfam family "Bacterial small subunit ribosomal RNA", at positions 524 to 776 of the family's 1533-position model. The record is from RNAcentral.
UACGUAGGGUGCAAGCGUUAAUCGGAAUUACUGGGCGUAAAGCGUGCGCAGGCGGCUUUCCAAGUCAGUGGUGAAAGCCCGGAGCUCAACUCCGGAAAUGCCAUUGAAACUGUGAAGCUUGAGAACGAGAGAGGUGAGUGGAAUUCCCAGUGUAGAGGUGAAAUUCGUAGAUAUUGGGAAGAACACCAGUGGCGAAGGCGGCUCACUGGCUCGUAACUGACGCUCAUGCACGACAGCGUGGGGAUCAAACAGG